AGAGUUUGAUUCUGGCUCAGAACGAACGCUGGCGGCGUGGAUAAGACAUGCAAGUUGAACGAUCACUUCAGGGUAGCAAUAUUCUGGGGUGGGAGUAGCGUAAGGGUGCGUAACACGUGGGCAAUUUGCCGCGAAGACCGGGACAACUCCGAGAAAUCGGAACUAAUACCGGAUGUGAAUCUUGGGAGGCAUCUUCCGAGGUUUAAAGCUGGGGACCGCAAGGCCUGGCACUUCGCGAUGAGCCCGCGGCCUAUCAGCUUGUUGGCGGGGUAACGGCCCACCAAGGCUAAGACGGGUAGCUGGUCUGAGAGGACGACCAGCCACACUGGAACUGAGACACGGUCCAGACACCUACGGGUGGCAGCAGUCGAGAAUUUUUCUCAAUGGGCGAAAGCUUGAAGGAGCGACGCCGCGUGGGGGAUGAAGGGCUUCGGCUCGUAAACCCCUGUCAUUUGCGAGCAAACCUUUUCACCUAAUACGUGAAAAGUUGAUAGUAGCGAAAUAGGAAGGGACGGCUAACUCUGUGCCAGCAGCCGCGGUAAUACAGAGGUCCCAAGCGUUGUUCGGAUUCACUGGGCGUAAAGGGUGCGUAGGUGGUGAGGUAAGUUUGGUGUGAAAUCUCCGAGCUCAACUCGGAAACGGCAUCAAAUACUACUUUGCUUGAGGGUCGGAAGGGAGACUGGAAUUCUCGGUGUAGCAGUGAAAUGCGUAGAUAUCGAGAGGAACACCAGUGGCGAAAGCGAGUCUCUGGACGACCCCUGACGCUGAGGCACGAAAGCUAGGGGAGCAAACAGGAUUAGAUACCCUGGUAGUCCUAGCCGUAAACGGUGCACAUUUGCCGUGAGAGGAAUCGACCCCUUUCGUGGCGGAGCUAACGCGUUAAAUGUGCCGCCUGGGAAGUACGGCCGCAAGGUUAAAACUCAAAGAAAUUGACGGGGGCCUGCACAAGCGGUGGAGUAUGUGGCUUAAUUCGAUGCAACGCGAAGAACCUUACCUGGCCUUGACAUGUGGGUGGUAGAAGCCUGAAAGGGUAACGACUCCGCAAGGGGAGCCUACACAGGUGCUGCAUGGCUGUCGUCAGCUCGUGUCGUGAGAUGUUGGUUAAGUCCCGCAACGAGCGCAACCCCUGUGUCCUGUUGCCACUCCCGCGAGAGCGGGAAGCACUCUGGACAGACUGCCUCGCUUCAACGAGGAGGAAGGUGGGGAUGACGUCAAGUCAGGAUGGCCCUUACGGCCAGGGCUGCACACGUACUACAAUGCCCGGCACAAAGGGAAGCAAUACCGCAAGGUGGAGCAAAUCCCAUAAAACCGGGCUCAGUUCAGAUUGUCGGCUGCAAUUCGCCGACAUGAAGCUGGAAUCGCUAGUAAUGGCGCAUCAGCUACGGCGCCGUGAAUACGUUCCCAGGCCUUGUACACACCGCCCGUCACAUCAUGAAAGCCAUUUGUACCCGAAGUCAGUGAGCUAACCGCAAGGAGGCAACUGCCGAAGGUAUGAACGGUGAUUGGGAUGAAGUCGUAACAAGGUA
Molecule: ribosomal RNA, 1526 nt
Filed under: metagenome
Description: bacterial SSU rRNA
Rfam family: Bacterial small subunit ribosomal RNA
Source: RNAcentral